This 498-nucleotide ribosomal RNA is filed under the name uncultured bacterium. Its description in RNAcentral is "partial 16S ribosomal RNA". It matches the Rfam family "Bacterial small subunit ribosomal RNA", at positions 27 to 507 of the family's 1533-position model. The record is from RNAcentral.
GGACGAACGCUGGUGGCGUGCCUAAUACAUGCAAGUUGAGCGCUGAAGGUUGGUACUUGUACCAACUGGAUGAGCAGCGAACGGGUGAGUAACGCGUGGGGAAUCUGCCUUUGAGCGGGGGACAACAUUUGGAAACGAAUGCUAAUACCGCAUAAAAACUUUAAACACAAGUUUUAAGUUUGAAAGAUGCAAUUGCAUCACUCAAAGAUGAUCCCGCGUUGUAUUAGCUAGUUGGUGAGGUAAAGGCUCACCAAGGCGAUGAUACAUAGCCGACCUGAGAGGGUGAUCGGCCACAUUGGGACUGAGACACGGCCCAAACUCCUACGGGAGGCAGCAGUAGGGAAUCUUCGGCAAUGGACGAAAGUCUGACCGAGCAACGCCGCGUGAGUGAAGAAGGUUUUCGGAUCGUAAAACUCUGUUGGUAGAGAAGAACGUUGGUGAGAGUGGAAAGCUCAUCAAGUGACGGUAACUACCCAGAAAGGGACGGCUAACUACGUG